GAUGAACGCUGGCGGCGUGCCUAAUACAUGCAAGUCGAGCGAACAGAUGAGGAGCUUGCUCCUCUGACGUUAGCGGCGGACGGGUGAGUAACACGUGGAUAACCUACCUAUAAGACUGGGAUAACUUCGGGAAACCGGAGCUAAUACUGGAUAAUAUAUUGAACCGCAUGGUUCAAUAGUGAAAGACGGUUUUGCUGUCACUUAUAGAUGGAUCCGCGCCGCAUUAGCUAGUUGGUAAGGUAACGGCUUACCAAGGCAACGAUGCGUAGCCGACCUGAGAGGGUGAUCGGCCACACUGGAACUGAGACACGGUCCAGACUCCUACGGGAGGCAGCAGUAGGGAAUCUUGCGCAAUGGGCGAAAGCCUGACGGAGCAACGCCGCGUGAGUGAUGAAGGUCUUCGGAUCGUAAAACUCUGUUAUUAGGGAAGAACAAAUGUGUAAGUAACUAUGCACGUCUUGACGGUACCUAAUCAGAAAGCCACGGCUAACUACGUG
Molecule: ribosomal RNA, 497 nt
Filed under: uncultured bacterium
Lineage: Bacteria
Description: partial 16S ribosomal RNA
Rfam family: Bacterial small subunit ribosomal RNA
Source: RNAcentral